UACGUAGGUGGCGAGCGUUGUCCGGAUUUAUUGGGUUUAAAGGGUGCGUAGGCGGCCCUAUAAGUCAGUGGUGAAAUAUCGCAGCUUAACUGUGAGGGUGCCAUUGAUACUGUAGGGCUUGAGUGAAUUUGAGGUAGGCGGAAUUGACGGUGUAGCGGUGAAAUGCUUAGAUAUCGUCAAGAUCACCGAUAGUGAAGACAGCUUACCAAGCUUCAACUGACGCUGAGGCACGAAAGUGUGGGGAUCAAACAGG
Molecule: ribosomal RNA, 253 nt
Filed under: uncultured bacterium
Lineage: Bacteria
Description: partial 16S ribosomal RNA
Rfam family: Bacterial small subunit ribosomal RNA
Source: RNAcentral